This 497-nucleotide ribosomal RNA is filed under the name uncultured bacterium. RNAcentral's name for it is "partial 16S ribosomal RNA". It matches the Rfam family "Bacterial small subunit ribosomal RNA", at positions 28 to 507 of the family's 1533-position model. The record is from RNAcentral.
GAUGAACGCUGGCGGCGUGCCUAAUACAUGCAAGUCGAGCGAACAGACGAGGAGCUUGCUCCUCUGACGUUAGCGGCGGACGGGUGAGUAACACGUGGAUAACCUACCUAUAAGACUGGGAUAACUUCGGGAAACCGGAGCUAAUACCGGAUAAUAUAUUGAACCGCAUGGUUCAAUAGUGAAAGACGGUUUUGCUGUCACUGAUAGAUGGAUCCGCGCCGCAUUAGCUAGUUGGUAAGGUAACGGCUUACCAAGGCAACGAUGCGUAGCCGACCUGAGAGGGUGAUCAGCCACACUGGAACUGAGACACGGUCCAGACUCCUACGGGAGGCAGCAGUAGGGAAUCUUCCGCAAUGGGCGAAAGCCUGACGGAGCAACGCCGCGUGAGUGAUGAAGGUCUUCGGAUCGUAAAACUCUGUUAUUAGGGAAGAACAAAUGUGUAAGUAACUAUGCACGUCUUGACGGUACCUAAUCAGAAAGCCACGGCUAACUACGUG